Molecule: ribosomal RNA, 264 nt
Filed under: uncultured bacterium
Lineage: Bacteria
Description: partial 16S ribosomal RNA
Rfam family: Bacterial small subunit ribosomal RNA
Source: RNAcentral
GUCCACGCCCUAAACGAUGCAUGCUUGGUGUGGGUGAUUCAGUUCAUCCGUGCCGGAGCUAACGCGUUAAGCAUGCCGCCUGGGGAGUACAGUCGCAAGGCUGAAACUCAAAGGAAUUGACGGGGGCCUGCACAAGCGGUGGAGCAUGUGGUUCAAUUCGACGCAACGCGAAGAACCUUACCUGGGCUCGAACGGCUGGUCAACGAUCGUGGAAACACGGUUACCCCGCAAGGGGGUCCAGUCGAGGUGCUGCAUGGCUGUCGU